AAGACUUUAAGUUAAGUACAAACUAAUAUCCUUCAAAGUUAUAAAUAAAGAGAUUUAUCUUUAAGUCUUA
RNAcentral lists this transfer RNA (70 nucleotides) under Acromantis japonica. Its description in RNAcentral is "tRNA-Trp". Lineage: Eukaryota; Metazoa; Arthropoda; Insecta; Mantodea; Hymenopodidae. The record is from RNAcentral. RNAcentral also lists the same sequence under 1 other name.